RNAcentral lists this ribosomal RNA (891 nucleotides) under uncultured eukaryote. Its description in RNAcentral is "bacterial SSU rRNA". It matches the Rfam family "Eukaryotic small subunit ribosomal RNA", at positions 565 to 1474 of the family's 1831-position model. The record is from RNAcentral.
UGCCAAGCAGCCGCGGUAAUUCCAGCUCCAAUAGCGUAUAUUAAAGUUGUUGCGGUUAAAAAGCUCGUAGUUGGAUCUCGGCGGGCAGGGGGUGGUUCGCUCUUCAGCGCUACUGCCCCGCUUUGCCCGUGUGAUUGGCGGAGGUUUCGGGGUGCUCUUCGUUGAGUGACUCGGAGCGCCGUCAGGUUUACUUUGAAAAAAUUAGAGUGCUCAAAGCAGGCUUUUCACGCUUGAAUAUUCGUGCAUGGAAUAAUGGAAUAGGAACUCGUUUCUAUUUUGUUGGUUUUCGGAAAUCGAGUUAAUGAUUAACAGGGACAAUUGGGGGCAUUAGUAUUCAGACGACAGAGGUGAAAUUCUUGGACCGUCUGAAGACUGACUACUGCGAAAGCAUUUGCCAAGAGUGUUUUCAUUAAUCAAGAACGAAAGUUAGAGGUUCGAAGGCGAUCAGAUACCGCCCUAGUUCUAACCAUAAACGAUGCCAGCUAGCGAUCUGCCGAGUUUUUUUUGUAGGCUCCGCAGGAAGCUUUCGGGAAACCAAAGCUUUUGGGUUCCGGGGGAAGUAUGGUUGCAAAGCUGAAACUUAAAGGAAUUGACGGAAGGGCACCACCAGGAGUGGAGCCUGCGGCUUAAUUUGACUCAACACGGGGAAACUCACCAGGUCCAGACUGGGUAAGGAUGUACAGAUUGACAGCUCUUUACAGAUUCUCAGGGUGGUGGUGCAUGGCCGUUCUUAGUUGGUGGAGUGAUUUGUCUGGUUAAUUCCGUUAACGAACGAGACCUUAACCUGCUAAAUAGCGUCGAGUUUCUCCGGAAACGAAGAUGUCUUCUUAGAGGGACGUCGCGUGUCUAACGCGAGGAGGUGUGAGGCAAUAACAGGUCUGUGAUGCCCAA